AACGAGGAGGCCCAUUGAAAUUUAUUGAAACUGGAGUGCUUGCACAAAGGAAGAUUUAAAUGGAUUUGGAUUCCCUCCUAGUGGCAGACGGGUGAGUAACACGUGGGUAAUCUACCCCAGGGACUGGGAUAACGUUUGGAAACGAACGAUAAUACCGGAUGAUUCAUAUUUAGAUAACUAGAUAUGCUAAAAGGAGCUUCGGCUUCACCUUGGGAUGAGCUUGCGGUGUAUUAGCUAGUUGGUGAGGUAAUGGCUCACCAAGGCAACGAUGCAUAUCCGCGCUGAGAGGCUGAUCGGACACAUUGGGACUGAGACACGGCCCAGACUCCUACGGGAGACAGCAGUUAGGAAUAUUCGUCAAUGGGGGAAACCCUGAACGAGCAAUGCCGCGUGAGUGAUGACGGUCUUAUAGAUUGUAAAACUCUGUUGUAAAGGAAGAACACUUAUUAUAGGUAAUGAUGAUAAGUUGACGGUACUUUGCCAGAAAGCCCCGGCUAACUACGUGCC
This 507-nucleotide ribosomal RNA is filed under the name uncultured organism. RNAcentral's name for it is "SSU rRNA". It matches the Rfam family "Bacterial small subunit ribosomal RNA", at positions 36 to 509 of the family's 1533-position model. The record is from RNAcentral.